AAAGGCUGAUAUGCAUUUUACUAAAGCUCAAGAGAAAAAUGCUGAUAUAUAAAUGUAUAAAGCCCUAAGGCAAUAAAGGGAAGGGAAGGGAAGGGAAGGGAAGGGAAGGGAAGGGAAGGGAAGGGAAGGGAAGGGAAGGGAAAAAAAAUAGUGUCCCAAUGCUUUUGUUGCACUUGUUAUAGAGCUAGAGUACAGGAUCUUGGAGACAAGCAAAUAUAUAAUUCUAAUUAACACUUAAUUGUUUUUUAUACCCAAAAUUUUGUUAAGUUUUUCUCCUGCCAGACCCAAUAUGCGAGGGAUGUCUGUGCAUCGCUAUAUCAACACAUAGGAACACCAACACCGAAAGCCUAAUGAAAGAACCUCAGCUCUAACCUGCUCCUUCCCACUCCUCAAGCUUGCAGGGAACCCAGAAACAAAGAGAGCUUGUGGCUUGUGCCACAUUUACAGAGUCCAAAGGUACUCUGAUGCAGAAGCAGCAAGUUGCGGAAUCAAACUCUAUAACCACAUAGUAGUUAUAAAACAGGUAUGUUUGUUCAGUGCUGCAUGCACACAGGGUGCAGAGAGGGUAGACUCUUUCUUGCCUGCGCACCAAGAACAGAUAAACAUCUUUAUUUAUAGAAGGAAUACAUGCAUAUUCAUAGUAUUUCUAAGACAAGGAGUGGUUACUAAAAUUACUUCUAGAAAUUCAGUACAAUAUUCCAUGCCCAUUCUACCCCUUAACUCCACUCCUAACUAAUGCUUCUAUGCCUGCCUGCUGCCUCCUGGUGGCCAUCCUGGUGGUCUUGGGGAUGAAGGCUGGAUGUCAUCCUCGCAGUAUUCUGAUCCCAGUGUAGUUUGAGGAAGUAUUCCAGCUUCAACCGCUUCAGUUUCUAGGAUGGUUUCUAGGAUGUGGUUCCUUGGACCAGUCAGCAGGCUCCUUGGCUUACAGUUGAGAUACCCCAUAUCCUUCCCACUGCUUAUGCUCAACUACUUUUACAAUUUUAAAAAAUAUACUAAAUUAGCCCUUUAUUCAGCAGAACCCAAAAUCUCAGGUUCUGGGUGUCUCAGUUCCUGCCCUGUGCUGAGGAGGUUGUAGGAAUGGAGAGGGGCUAAAAGCCACCACUGAGCAAGGAUUCAUAAUUUCAUGAUUAUUUCUAAACUUGUUUUUUUUCAAGUUGUUCCCUUUUCAGGAAGCUUUCAGAACUUCAAUUUCUCAUUCCCAUCUGAAAGAAUGACUUCUUCCUCUCUUUUGUCAAAUCACAGAUGCUAUGUGGAUUAAAAGUUUUAAUAUGUGACCCACACUACCCCAGGC
This 1291-nucleotide long non-coding RNA is filed under the name Phasianus colchicus (ring-necked pheasant). RNAcentral's name for it is "lncRNA (ENSPCLG00000018324.1)". Lineage: Eukaryota; Metazoa; Chordata; Aves; Galliformes; Phasianidae. The record is from RNAcentral.